This 490-nucleotide ribosomal RNA is filed under the name uncultured Acholeplasma sp. Its description in RNAcentral is "bacterial SSU rRNA". It matches the Rfam family "Bacterial small subunit ribosomal RNA", at positions 887 to 1382 of the family's 1533-position model. Lineage: Bacteria; Bacillati; Mycoplasmatota; Mollicutes; Acholeplasmatales; Acholeplasmataceae. The record is from RNAcentral.
GCCCGCUCAGAAACUUAAAGGAAUUGAGGGGACCCCGCACAAGCGGUGGAUCAUGUUGUUUAAUUCGAUGAUACGCGAAGAACCUUACCAGGUCUUGACAUCCCCCGCGAUGCUUUAGAGAUAAAGCGGAGGUAUUCGGGGAGACAGGUGGUGCAUGGUUGUCGUCAGCUCGUGUCGUGAGAUGUUGGGUUAAGUCCCGCAACGAGCGCAACCCCUAUUGCUAGUUACCAUCAUUAAGUUGGGGACUCUAGCGAGACUGCCAGUGAUAAACUGGAGGAAGGUGGGGAUGACGUCAAAUCAUCAUGCCCCUUAUGACCUGGGCUACAAACGUGAUACAAUGGCUGGAACAAAGGGAUGCGAAGCAGUGAUGUGGAGCGAAACCCAUAAAAACAGUCUCAGUUCGGAUUGAAGUCCGCAACUCGACUUCAUGAAGUCGGAAUCGCUAGUAAUCGCGGAUCAGAACGCCGCGGUGAAUACGUUCUCGGGGUUU